Molecule: ribosomal RNA, 478 nt
Filed under: uncultured bacterium
Lineage: Bacteria
Description: partial 16S ribosomal RNA
Rfam family: Bacterial small subunit ribosomal RNA
Source: RNAcentral
GAUGAACGCUAGCGGCAGGCCUAACUCAUGCAAGUCGAGGGAGAAGCCCUUUCGGGGGCCGAAACCGGCGCACGGGUGCGUAACGCGUAUGCAACCUACCUUUCACAGGGGGAUAGCCCGAAGAAAUUUGGAUUAAUACCCCAUAAUAUUAUUGGAUGGCAUCAUUUGAUAAUUAAAACUGCGGUGGUGAAAGAUGGGCAUGCGUCCUAUUAGCUAGUUGGAGUGGUAACGGCACCCCAAGGCUACGAUAGGUAGGGGUCCUGAGAGGGAGAUCCCCCACACUGGUACUGAGACAGGGACCAGACUCCUACGGGAGGCAGCAGUGAGGAAUAUUGGUCAAUGGUCGGAAGACUGAACCAGCCAUGCCGCGUGCAGGAAGAAUGCCUUAUGGGUUGUAAACUGCUUUUAUAUGGGAAGAAUAAGGCGUACGUGUACGUUGAUGACGGUACCAUAUGAAUAAGCAUCGGCUAACUCCGUG